AGAAACAGGAAGUGCCCCUCUUUUCCCCUCCGCUCUUGCUCCAGCGGCGGGAUGUGAUCCACUGGCAAGGAGGGACGCCAAUAAGGUGUCCGAUAAAAUAAGUCUUAUAAAAUAUAUAGGUUUAUGAUAGUUAACACUGAGCUAGCAGAUGAGAAUCCUAGUCAUUGGCCAAGCAGCUUUGAACCUAAUCCAAGUUUCUGUGUAUUCAUUUGGGCCCUAACUCAGGCAGGCGGCUGGCAUAAAGCUCACACGUGGCGUUGGGGCUCGGCGGCUUUUGGCAGAAAGAUUUAUCGUAACAACCCUUUCUUUUGCAAAACAUGCAUUAUGAGCACUUUCUAGGAAAGAGAGAGUGAGGAAAAUGAGGACAAGGAGCCAUGAGGGAAAGCUAUAUUCACCAGCUUCCCCCUGUCCUGUCCCCCAAUGGGAACCAUUUUUUAACUCUUUGUACAGUUUCUGGCCACAUUUAAUGGUCUCUAGAUCCCUAAACAACAACAACAACAACAAAAACCACAUCAUUUUGAAAAUGAAAGCUGUCAACUUGCAAGGAAGUGUGCCUCACCCAAAGGCGAGUCCAGCACCCUGUGGCGAGGAGAAAAGAACCCAGGAAUCCUUACAAAUCUGGAAGAGAAAGCUGUCAAAACAAGUGAGGACCAGUUGCAUGGGGUCUUCGGAGAGAAAUCUAUCUACACAGUUGCUCAAAGAUGAUGUCACCAUUUGUGUUCCUCAUCUGAGGCCUGAGGAAGCCGAGGCCCAGAUUCUGAGACUGGGACUUUGGCAGGGAGCCUCUUCGGUGUGUCAGGCGGACCUUCAUGAGAAGCCGAUUCUAAACCACAGCACUGUGGUGUUUGGGACUUGAAGCUCCAGGAGUGAGGAAACAGCAGAAACAGGACGCUCCCUUCUGCCUUUGACCAUAUCGUCCUUCCUGAGAUCACAGCGUAAAACCCUGGAAGGAUUUCCUGACCACCCCGCAAACAGGAAUAAUUUGAAAUUAGAGAGAAGAGUUAGGAUUUGGGAAUCAGUGGCAUCUUGUCCUGCAACGUCCAUAGGCUACAUGAAAGCAUAAUCUGUCCAGCUGCUAUUUCCUGUUGCGUCUCUCCG
This 1098-nucleotide long non-coding RNA is filed under the name Cricetulus griseus (Chinese hamster). Its description in RNAcentral is "lncRNA (ENSCGRG00015033928.1)". The record is from RNAcentral. Lineage: Eukaryota; Metazoa; Chordata; Mammalia; Rodentia; Cricetidae.